This 513-nucleotide unclassified non-coding RNA is filed under the name uncultured Bordetella sp. Its description in RNAcentral is "partial 16S-23S ribosomal RNA intergenic spacer". It matches the Rfam family "Bacterial small subunit ribosomal RNA", at positions 10 to 524 of the family's 1533-position model. Lineage: Bacteria; Pseudomonadati; Pseudomonadota; Betaproteobacteria; Burkholderiales; Alcaligenaceae. The record is from RNAcentral.
GGUUUGAUUAUGGCUCAGAUUGAACGCUGGCGGGAUGCUUUACACAUGCAAGUCGAACGGCAGCACGGACUUCGGUCUGGUGGCGAGUGGCGAACGGGUGAGUAAUGUAUCGGAACGUGCCUAGUAGCGGGGGAUAACUACGCGAAAGCGUAGCUAAUACCGCAUACGCCCUUCGGGGGAAAGCGGGGGACCUUCGGGCCUCGCGCACUAUUAGAGCGGCCGAUAUCGGAUUAGCUAGUUGGUGGGGGUAACGGCUCACCAAGCGACGAUCCGUAGCUACAGUUUGAAGACGACCGCCCACACUGAGACCAGACCCAUUCGGCGGGCUCUGGGAGGCAGCAGUGGGGAAUUUUUGGACAAUGGAAACCCUGAUCCAGCCAUCCCGCGUGUGCGAUGAAGGCCUUCGGGUUGUAAAGCACUUUUGGCAGGAAAGAAACGGCACGGGAUAAUACCCGUGCAACUGACGGUACCUGCAGAAUAAGCACCGGUAACUACGUGCCAGCAGCCCAUGAC